CCUACGGGAGGCAGCAGUGGGGAAUAUUGGGCAAUGGGCGCAAGCCUGACCCAGCAACGCCGCGUGAGGGAAGAAGGCUUUCGGGUUGUAAACUUCUUUUGUCAGGGACGAAGCAAGUGACGGUACCUUACGCAUAAGCCACGGCUAACUACGUGCCAGCAGCCGCGGUAAUACGUAGGUGGCAAGCGUUAUCCGGAUUUACUGGGUGUAAAGGGCGUGUAGGCGGGACUGCAAGUCAGAUGUGAAAACCACGGGCUCAACCUGUGGCCUGCAUUUGAAACUGGAGUUCUUGAGUACUGGAGAGGCAGACGGAAUUCGUAGUGUAGCGGUGAAAUGCGGAGAGAUUAGGAGGAACACCAGUGGCGAAGGCGGGUUGCUGGACAGUAACUGACGCUGAGGCGCGAAAGCGUGGGGAGCAAACAGGAUUAGAUACCCUGGUAGUC
RNAcentral lists this ribosomal RNA (443 nucleotides) under uncultured bacterium. RNAcentral describes it as "partial 16S ribosomal RNA". It matches the Rfam family "Bacterial small subunit ribosomal RNA", at positions 338 to 795 of the family's 1533-position model. The record is from RNAcentral.